UACGUAGGUGGCAAGCGUUGUCCGGAUUUAUUGGGUUUAAAGGGUGCGUAGGCGGUUCUGUAAGUCAGUGGUGAAAUACUCCAGCUUAACUGGAGGGGUGCCAGUGAUACUGCAGAACUUGAGUACAGAUGAGGUAGGCGGAAUUGACGGUGUAGCGGUGAAAUGCAUAGAUAUCGUCAAGAACACCUAUAGCGAAGGCAGCUUACUGGGCUGUAACUGACGCUGAGGCACGAAAGUGUGGGGAUCAAACAGG
Molecule: ribosomal RNA, 253 nt
Filed under: uncultured bacterium
Lineage: Bacteria
Description: partial 16S ribosomal RNA
Rfam family: Bacterial small subunit ribosomal RNA
Source: RNAcentral